This 406-nucleotide ribosomal RNA is filed under the name uncultured bacterium. RNAcentral describes it as "partial 16S ribosomal RNA". It matches the Rfam family "Bacterial small subunit ribosomal RNA", at positions 29 to 526 of the family's 1533-position model. The record is from RNAcentral.
AUUGAACGCUGGCGGCAGGCCUAACACAUGCAAGUCGAACGAGUGGCGGACGGGUGAGGAAUGUCUGGGAAACUGCCCGAUGGAGGGGGAUAACUACAGGAAACGGUAGCUAAUACCGCAUACCGUCGGAAGUGCCCAGAUGGGAUGAGCUUGUGGGUGGGGUAACGGCCCACCUAGGCGACAAUCCCUAGGUGGGGUGAGAGGAGGACCAGCCACACUGGAACUUAGACAUGGCCCAGACUCCUACGGGAGGCAGCAGUGGGGAAUAGUGCACAAUGGGCGAAAGCCUGAUGCAGCCAUGCCGCGUGUAUGAAGAAGGCCUUCGGGUUGUAAAGUACUUUCAGCGAGGAGGCGUUACUCGCAGAAGAAGCACCGGCUAACUCCGUGCCAGCAGCCGCGGUAAUUC